GUCCCACCCAGGGGCAAUGGUGGUCGAAGCGCUCAAUGCAAUUGUCGCAUAUGGAGCAAUGAGAGCAACGUGGUGGCCGAUAUAGCAUACAUGUUUUGCAGUAUUUUACUUUGACAACUAUUCCAUUGACAGUAACAUUUUUCAUAGGCGGUAAACUGAUAGGACCAGUCUGACUUCCUAAACAACUUGUCGAGAUGCUAG
This 201-nucleotide unclassified non-coding RNA is filed under the name Hevea brasiliensis (rubber tree). The record is from RNAcentral. Lineage: Eukaryota; Viridiplantae; Streptophyta; Magnoliopsida; Malpighiales; Euphorbiaceae.